CUGAGACAGUGGCAGAGCGAGCCAGAGGCAGGGAGGAGGCAGCGAAGGAGCAGCUCUCCUCCUGAGUCUCCAUCCCAGAGAAGACCGAGAGGUAGAAGACCGGAGAAGACAGUCCUGUCUCAGCGGUGCAUCCCAGAAGCUCCUGAAGUUCAAACCAUGACGUCCGCUGUGAGCUUGUCUUCAGGUGAAGAGGACGUGAUGUGCCAUGAAGACUGUUAGCUGUGGCUGACCCUCAGAAGACUAAACACAGAGGGUGGUCUUCUGGAGUUGAUGCGGAGACCUGCAACACUGGGAAACUGAACGCUGCUGACCAUGUUCACCUGACACAAGGAAGUGUUUGGGAAAACGCAGCGUGCAGAUAAAACAUACACCAUCAUCAUACUUCCUUCUAUUUAACCAAACUAAAAUAUUUUCCAUCACUAUUCUCCUUAAAAAACUUCUGCUUAGUGCUUAUUCAUGGUAUCACCAGAUAAACAAAAGAAGAAUUUGCUGGUUGGAUUACUAAUUUAACAAUUUAAGGAGUUAAAUGGUGAAAGAAGCAUUCAGAUUCUUUAUUCAAGAUAAAGUGUCAAGAAACUAUAUAACUAGAGACAAUCACACAGUCAAAAUUUUACUGAAGUAAAUGUACAUAAGUAUCUACAAAAUGUACUCAAGGAUCACAAGUUAAAGUUCUCCUUAUCUAGAAUAGCUCAUUAAAAAAUGUUAUUAAGCUGAUAAAUAAACGUUUUGGAGCCAAAAAGUACAAUAUUUUUCUUGAAAUGAAGUGCAGUUGGCAGGCAUUGUACUUGAUGUACUUAAAUUGAUAUAGUUACUUUCCACAGCUGAUGCAAUGAAUUACACUAUUUCACUAGUAAAAUCUUUAUGAAUAUACAUGUACAUAAAAUAGAAAUGACCUAAUUGCAUUACAUUCUUAUAUUUGAAUAGCACCAUAACAUCCUUUCAAAUGAUGUUGUUGGUGUUGAAUACAUGACUAAAAUACGUACAUAUAAGGGUAGCUGCAACCUUUACAUUUGUGCAAUUGUGCAUGAAAAUCCAGCCUUAUGGCAUUUUAAUUAGUAAGAUUAAAUGUAAUCUGUUACCUCGCGACUCACGCCUUGUCUCAUGAGGUCUCACGGAGGAUUUGUGUGGAAUUUUUGAGGUCCUUUCUUCCAUGUGCCGGCCCACCACCAUCUCCUCCACCUCCACCCACCCUCAGUGCAACACGGAUGCAUUAUUAAACUUGUAUAAGAUCAUUAGCAUACAAAGCAGGAAACCUACCGCGAUGGAGUCAUACAUAUUUAUCUGGACGUGCCUGACUUGUACGUGCAUACACUCAUACUGUAACCCCUUUACACACAGGCGUGACUGUCUUUCUGCUGCAGGAGUUCUGUGAACAGACACUAUGAAGUGGAUGAUACUACUGGAGAAGCACAACCAGUUUUAAAGGAUAGAUAAUUACUUGUGCAACAUCUGAAGAAAGACAAGUUAGCAUUUGCCAUAAACUAUAUAUGAAAGCUAGUGUGGCUGCCUGUAGGACUGAGAAGAUGUGUGUAUUUUGGAAACCGAGCAGAUGGAGUUUGGUUAGGUUCAUCAGAACAGUUUGCUUCGAGCAUAUUAAAUAUAGUUUGCACACAGAGGAAUAUACAUAUUCAUCUGCUGCACUCAGAAGCACAUAAUCAAACAGAGAGAAAGCCAAACAGAGGGCAUGUUCUUGUCAAUACUUGCAUCACCCAUGGGUUACAUCUGACUAUCGAAUGACUGUGAAAUCAUUUCCUUUUCUCUCUCCUUCCCUUGUUCCUUUCCUCUUUAAAUCCACCUUUUCUCCACAACCAUGCUAUCGCUGUUCCCUUUCCUUUUUGGAGAUUAUUUUCUACACUUUACUGAUGACAGCACAAACCCUCCUGUUUUUCACAACGUGGAUUCCUCUGUUAAUAUCCCUUUCUCCUACCUUCUUUUUCCUCCCUCCUGUGAGAUUGCUGUUGUGUCUUAUGGCUUUUUAUUCCUACGUGAUGGUAGAUGGGUUCAUGUAGGAGUAGAAGCCACUAAACACGCGGUGAGUGCUCAACGCGUUGGCCAACACACACAGCGAGCUUCCUGUGGAUAUGACAGCUGCCAUGUUCACAUCACUGGUCCUUAAAAAAAUAAAAUAGUCUAGGGUAUUCACUACAGGGAGUGGCUACUGUUUUAGUUUAUCUUUUCAGACCAGAUUUUUAAUGUGAAAAUGUUUUUAAUGACUUAAUUAAAUGGUUAUUAUACUGAAUUGUACAAUUGGACAGCCAAUAGAGUAGAAUGUUGAUGUAGGCUACUUGUGGUCAGACUAAUCAAUCUGAGCAAAUGUGAUGUUCUGAACAGACCUACUUUUUCACAAAGACUUUCCACCUGCAUGCUGGCGGCACAUGCCUUGAAUUUUAAACUCAAUCCUCUGCCCCGAGGUCACUGUACAAGACUGGAGCUGGAUAGUUCUCAAAAUAGAGAUCAGGAGGAGCGGAUGCCACAAUUGAGAAGAAACAACUUGCAGAGGUAGGUCAUUAAUGUUGUUUAACAAUGUCCAGAAUCUGAAGUGACUCCCUAUUUUCCCAUAAAGUGAAGAUGAGAACAUACAGAAAGCUGUUACAUGAUCGUUCAACACUGUCACCGACCUACAGAAGUGUAAAAAUAAACCCUCUCUCAGAAAUCUAGCACACAAUUUACUACAAAUGAAACACAUUUCAAAUAAUCAUCAUUUCAAGCAAACAAAACUUAAAUUUUGGACAUAUUUUUUUUAAUUAUUGCACAUCAGAACUAUGAAUUUCACAUGCUGUUGCCAUCGUGCAUCCAGUUUUCAGCUUUGUAGUCGUGUUUUUUUCCAAUUCAGUUUAAAAUUCACUCAGUUUUUAGCUCUGUUUUGGUCUCCUCCAACUCUUGAGAGAAUGAUCUGGUCCUUAGCUUCUAAAUGCUGCACUUUGUUCACCAGCUGGUCACUAA
Molecule: long non-coding RNA, 2943 nt
Organism: Etheostoma cragini (Arkansas darter)
Lineage: Eukaryota; Metazoa; Chordata; Actinopteri; Perciformes; Percidae
Exons: 3
Source: RefSeq, a predicted model, not a curated record